This 406-nucleotide unclassified non-coding RNA is filed under the name soil metagenome. RNAcentral describes it as "partial contains 5.8S ribosomal RNA, internal transcribed spacer 2, and large subunit ribosomal RNA". The stretch from base 1 to 122 matches the Rfam family "5.8S ribosomal RNA", at positions 35 to 154 of the family's 154-position model. The record is from RNAcentral.
GAUGAAGAACGUAGCAAAAUGCGAUACUUGGUGUGAAUUGCAGAAUCCCGUGAACCAUCGAGUUUUUGAACGCAAGUUGCGCCCGAAGCCUUUUGGCCGAGGGCACGUCUGCCUGGGCGUCACGCAUCGCGUCGCCCCCCCAUAAAUUCUCCGUCAGGGGAGCUUGUGUUUCGGGGGCGGAUACUGGUCUCCCGUGCUCAUGGCGCGGUUGGCCGAAAUAGGAGUCCCUUCGAUGGACGCACGAACUAGUGGUGGUCGUAAAAACCCUCGUCUUUUGUUUCGUGCCGUUAGUCGCGAGGGAAGCUCUUCAAAAACCCCAGCGCGUCGUCUCUUGACGGCGCUUCGACCGCGACCCCAGGUCAGGCGGGACUACCCGCUGAGUUUAAGCAUAUCAAUAAGCGGAGGA